CUCAACUGAAAACACCACACACCACAAAGUAUUACCUAGAAUACUUUUUUUAGUCAACGAAGAUUUUCGAUUACGAUAGAAAUGGUCAAAGUUCCGCCCGAUUCGGUCAUGAUGCCCUACCUUGCUCAUAGAUUAGGCAAAUGGAAAGGCAAUCGAAAUGUAUUAUCUAGACUGCCCACAGGAUUUGUUCUCUCCUUUAUCGAAACCGAGCAUUACUUGAUGCGAUGGAUAACGCAGGAGGAUUAUAAUCGAAAGAGACAGGCCGCAGGUGCAAAAGAGUAUUAGUGUUCAAAAAGCCGGAGCCAUGGGCAAUAUGAUUCCGAGUGUUAUGGAUUCGGGGAUCCUGCCAGAACGGUGGGAUCGUAUGUUUAAGGCUAGUUAAUACAUGAACUGGAUACGUCGCCACGAGUUGGUUGAAGUUUCAGAACGUUCAGCCGAGUUAGAAUAUUUAGACGAAUCCUGGGAAAGCCAAAAGGAACAUGAAUCCUCUUAUAGCUCCGGUUACAGUUCCCGUCGAAGAUCCGAAGUCGUUCCCAUGGAGGUGGAUGAGGACUAUUAUGCAAUUAAGAAAGAAGUUGGGCCGUCGAAUCCUAGCUGUGUUAUAAGGAUUCCGCCCCCAGAUAAAAUUUAAAAUUGAGUGUUAACUAUAAAAUUGUAUUAAAGUCCUAGGUUCCUAUUCAGAAUAGAAUUUUAAACAAAUAACUUGAACAGUAAAUUCUAUAUUUUAAAUGUA
This is a long non-coding RNA of Drosophila takahashii, 733 nucleotides long. RefSeq lists it as uncharacterized. Lineage: Eukaryota; Metazoa; Arthropoda; Insecta; Diptera; Drosophilidae. The record is from RefSeq and is a predicted model, not a curated record.